AUUGAACGCUGGCGGCAUGCUUUACACAUGCAAGUCGAACGGUAACAGGCCUUCGGGUGCUGACGAGUGGCGAACGGGUGAGUAAUGCAUCGGAACGUACCCAGAGGUGGGGGAUAACGCAGCGAAAGCUGUGCUAAUACCGCAUGUGAUCUGAGGAUGAAAGCGGGGGACCGAGCAGCAAUGUUUGGCCUCGCGCCUUUGGAGCGGCCGAUGUCGGAUUAGCUAGUUGGUGGGGUAAAGGCCUACCAAGGCGACGAUCCGUAGCUGGUCUGAGAGGACGACCAGCCACACUGGGACUGAGACACGGCCCAGACUCCUACGGGAGGCAGCAGGGGGGAAUUUUGGACAAUGGGCGCAAGCCUGAUCCAGCAAUGCCGCGUGCGGGAGGAAGGCCUUCGGGUUGUAAACCGCUUUUGGCAGGAACGAAACGGUGUCCGCUAAUACCGGGCGCUAAUGACGGUACCUGCAGAAUAAGCACCAGCUAACUAC
This 489-nucleotide ribosomal RNA is filed under the name uncultured bacterium. RNAcentral describes it as "partial 16S ribosomal RNA". It matches the Rfam family "Bacterial small subunit ribosomal RNA", at positions 29 to 504 of the family's 1533-position model. The record is from RNAcentral.